AUUGAACGCUGGCGGCAGGCCUAACACAUGCAAGUCGAACGAGCGGCGGACGGGUGUGUAAUGCCUGGGAAUUGCCCUGUCGGGGGGGAUAACAGUUGGAAACGACUGCUAAUACCACAUACGAGUGGUUUGCCCAGGUGGGAUUAGCUAGUUGGUGGGGUAAUGGCUCACCAAGGCGACGAUCCCUCGCUGGUCUGAGAGGAUGAUCAGCCACACUGGAACGGAGACACGGUCCAGACUCCUACGGGAGGCAGCAGUGGGGAAUAUUGCACAAUGGGGGAAACCCUGAUGCAGCCAUGCCGCGUGUGUGAAGAAGGCCUUCGGGUUGUAAAGCACUUUCAGCGGGGAGGCGUUACUCGCAGAAGAAGCACCGGCUAACUCCGUGCCAGCAGCCGCGGUAAUAC
Molecule: ribosomal RNA, 404 nt
Filed under: uncultured bacterium
Lineage: Bacteria
Description: partial 16S ribosomal RNA
Rfam family: Bacterial small subunit ribosomal RNA
Source: RNAcentral